Molecule: long non-coding RNA, 526 nt
Filed under: Lupinus angustifolius (narrow-leaved blue lupine)
Lineage: Eukaryota; Viridiplantae; Streptophyta; Magnoliopsida; Fabales; Fabaceae
Description: long non-coding RNA (LANG_LNC002572)
Source: RNAcentral
GGACAUGGUCAAUUUACAAAUGGAUAUGAGAUUGAACUUAAAAUAAGGAAUAAACCAAACAUCAUACAAAACAAAGACUUAGAAAACAUGAAUGUGCCUUAGUAUUUUGGUGAUAUAUUUGAUCCAUUAGGCAACCUAACAUUGGUAGUCUUAAUGCAAUGGUAAGCGACAAAAUUGGAUAGAUUACGACUAACAUGAUCAAUGGCUUCAGUAUCAAGGAUAUCCAAUAAGAAAUAUUACUUGGACAAACAUCAUGAGGCUAUUGAAUCUAUUCUUCAGUGAACAUGAGACUAAGUUGAUUAAUAUUAUGACUAGAUGUGCUAGUGCCAAUGUUCAUGAGUAAGGAUGCAAGUUGAUGUUUUUUAGAAAUAAGGUAUUCUCAUUAACUUAUGAAUGUAACACUAAUAGUUAUUUAGCCAACCUCUCUCAUAGCACCUGUUAUGAAAGAAAAUAACUCUGAAAGACUACCUGGGUAUGAAUAGAGAGGAAUCAAUAGCAUCCUGGAAAUAGAGACAUAAAAACCAAG